CCUACGGGUGGCAGCAGUGAGGAAUAUUGGUCAAUGGGCGGAAGCCUGAACCAGCCAAGUAGCGUGCAGGAUGACGGCCCUACGGGUUGUAAACUGCUUUUAUACGGGAAUAACGCGCCUUACGUGUAGGGCUUUGCAUGUACCGUAUGAAUAAGGACCGGCUAAUUCCGUGCCAGCCGCCGCGGUUAUAAGGAAUGUCCGGGCGUUAUCCGGAUUUAUUGGGUUUAAAGGGAGCGUAGGCCGCAUGUCAAGCGUGCUGUGAAAUGUCCGGGCUCAACCCGGGCCGUGCAGCGCGAACUGGCGUGCGUGAGUCCGCGGAAAGCAGGCGGAAUUCGUCGUGUAGCGGUGAAAUGCUUAGAUAUGACGAAGAACCCCGAGUGCGAAGGCAGCUUGCUGCAGCGGAACUGACGCUGAUGCUCGAAAGCGCGGGUAUCGAACAGGAUUAGAUACCCUAGUAGUC
RNAcentral lists this ribosomal RNA (460 nucleotides) under uncultured bacterium. RNAcentral describes it as "partial 16S ribosomal RNA". It matches the Rfam family "Bacterial small subunit ribosomal RNA", at positions 338 to 795 of the family's 1533-position model. The record is from RNAcentral.